This 459-nucleotide ribosomal RNA is filed under the name uncultured bacterium. RNAcentral's name for it is "partial 16S ribosomal RNA". It matches the Rfam family "Bacterial small subunit ribosomal RNA", at positions 338 to 795 of the family's 1533-position model. The record is from RNAcentral.
CCUACGGGAGGCAGCAGUGAGGAAUAUUGGUCAAUGGACGAGAGUCUGAACCAGCCAAGUAGCGUGAAGGAUGACUGCCCUAUGGGUUGUAAACUUCUUUUAUAUGGGAAUAAAAUGUUCCACGUGUGGGAUUUUGUAUGUACCAUAUGAAUAAUGAUCGGCUAACUCCGUGCCAGCAGCCGCGGUAAUACGGAGGAUCCGAGCGUUAUCCGGAUUUAUUGGGUUUAAAGUGAGCGUAGGUGGAUUGUUAAGUCAGCGGUAAAAUGUCGGUGCUCAACACCGGCCUGCCGUUGAAACUGGUCUUCUGGAGUGAGCGAGAAGUAUGCGGAAGGCGUGGUGUAGCGGUGAAAGGCAUAGAUAUCACGAAGAACUCCGAUUGCGAAGGCAGCAUACCGGCGCUCAACUGACGCUGAGGCACGAAAGCGUGGGGAUCGAACAGGAUUAGAUACCCCUGUAGUC